RNA transcript from Nycticebus coucang (slow loris), 6883 nucleotides. It is a transcript of the gene named patched 1, with no coding region annotated. NCBI's taxonomy places the organism in Eukaryota, Metazoa, Chordata, Mammalia, Primates, Lorisidae. The transcript has 21 exons. The record is from RefSeq and is a predicted model, not a curated record.
UGGGGACCGAGAGGAGCGCCGCCGAAGCGCCCGAAGGACAGGCUCGGUUGGCGCGCCGGCUCUCGCCCUCCUGCGAACUGGAUGUGGGCAGCAGUGGCCGCAGAGACCUCGGGACCCCCGCGCAAUGUGGCAAUGGAAGGCGCAGGGUCUGACUCCCCGGCAGCAGCCGCGGCCGCAGCGGCAGGAGCACCCGCCGUGUGAGCAGCAGCGGCAACAGCAGCAGCGGCAGGUCUGUCAACUGGAGCCCACGCCCGAGCAGCCUGCGGCCAGCAGCGUCCUCGCUAGCCGAGCGCCCAGGCGCUCCGGGAGCCCGCAGCGGCGGCAGCAGCGCUCCGGGCAGCUCGGGAAACCCCCGUCCCCGCGGCGGCGGCGACGGCGGCGGCAACAUGGCCUCGGCUGGUAACGCCACUGAGCCCCAGGUCCGCGGCGGUGGCAGCAGCGGUGCUCGGGACCGGCCGGCUGGCGGUGGGAGGCGCAGACGGACCGCGGGGCUAUGCCGCGCCCCCGCGCCGGACCGGGACUAUCUGCACCGGCCCAGCUACUGCGACGCCGCCUUCGCUCUGGAGCAGAUUUCCAAGGGGAAGGCUACUGGCCGGAAAGCGCCGCUGUGGCUGAGAGCGAAGUUUCAGAGACUCUUAUUUAAACUGGGUUGUUACAUUCAAAAAAACUGCGGCAAGUUCUUGGUCGUGGGCCUCCUCAUAUUUGGGGCCUUCGCUGUGGGAUUAAAAGCAGCUAAUCUCGAGACCAACGUGGAGGAGCUGUGGGUGGAAGUUGGUGGACGAGUAAGUCGUGAAUUAAAUUAUACUCGCCAGAAGAUUGGAGAAGAGGCUAUGUUUAAUCCUCAACUCAUGAUACAGACCCCAAAAGAAGAAGGUGCUAAUGUCCUGACCACAGAAGCGCUCCUGCAACAUCUGGACUCGGCACUCCAGGCCAGCAGAGUCCACGUGUACAUGUACAACAGGCAGUGGAAAUUGGAACAUUUGUGUUAUAAAUCAGGAGAACUUAUCACAGAAACCGGUUACAUGGACCAGAUAAUAGAAUAUCUUUACCCUUGUUUAAUUAUUACACCUUUGGACUGCUUCUGGGAAGGAGCGAAGUUACAAUCUGGGACAGCAUACCUCCUAGGUAAACCUCCUUUGCGGUGGACAAACUUUGACCCUUUGGAAUUCCUAGAAGAGUUAAAGAAAAUAAACUAUCAAGUGGACAGCUGGGAAGAAAUGCUGAAUAAAGCUGAAGUUGGUCACGGUUAUAUGGACCGUCCCUGCCUCAACCCAGCCGAUCCAGACUGCCCUGUUACAGCCCCCAACAAAAAUUCAACCAAACCUCUUGAUAUGGCCCUUGUUUUGAAUGGUGGAUGUCACGGAUUAUCCAGAAAGUAUAUGCACUGGCAGGAGGAACUGAUUGUGGGUGGCACAGUCAAGAACAGCACAGGAAAACUGGUCAGUGCCCACGCUCUGCAGACCAUGUUCCAGCUGAUGACUCCCAAGCAAAUGUACGAGCACUUCAAGGGGUACGAGUAUGUCUCACACAUCAACUGGAACGAGGACAAGGCAGCAGCCAUCCUGGAGGCUUGGCAGAGGACGUACGUGGAGGUGGUUCAUCAAAGCGUGGCACAGAACUCCACUCAGAAGGUGCUUUCCUUCACCACAACCACCUUGGAUGACAUCCUAAAAUCCUUCUCUGAUGUCAGUGUCAUACGAGUAGCUAGUGGCUACUUACUGAUGCUUGCCUAUGCCUGCUUAACCAUGCUGCGCUGGGACUGUUCCAAGUCCCAGGGUGCCGUGGGGCUGGCUGGUGUCCUGUUGGUUGCACUGUCAGUGGCUGCAGGAUUGGGCCUGUGCUCCUUGAUUGGGAUUUCCUUUAAUGCUGCAACAACUCAGGUUUUGCCAUUUCUCGCUCUGGGCGUUGGUGUGGAUGAUGUUUUCCUUCUGGCCCAUGCCUUUAGUGAAACAGGACAGAAUAAAAGAAUCCCUUUUGAGGACCGGACUGGAGAGUGCCUCAAGCGCACAGGAGCCAGUGUGGCCCUCACAUCCAUCAGCAAUGUCACAGCCUUCUUCAUGGCCGCGUUAAUCCCAAUUCCCGCUCUGCGGGCAUUCUCCCUCCAGGCGGCAGUCGUUGUGGUGUUCAAUUUUGCCAUGGUUCUGCUCAUUUUUCCUGCAAUUCUCAGCAUGGAUUUAUAUCGACGGGAGGACAGGAGAUUGGAUAUUUUCUGCUGUUUUACAAGCCCCUGCGUCAGCAGAGUGAUUCAGGUUGAACCUCAGGCCUACACAGAGACCCACGAUAACACCCGAUACAGCCCUCCGCCUCCCUACAGCAGACACAGCUUUGCUCACGAAACGCAGAUCACCAUGCAGUCCACCGUCCAGCUCCGCACGGAGUAUGACCCCCACACGCAUGUGUACUACACAACCGCUGAGCCGCGCUCGGAGAUCUCUGUGCAGCCUGUCACCGUGACCCAGGACACCCUCAGCUGCCAGAGCCCUGAGAGCACCAGCUCCACAAGGGACCUGCUCUCCCAGUUCUCUGACUCCAGCCUCCACUGCCUCGAGCCUCCCUGUACUAAGUGGACUCUCUCAUCUUUUGCUGAGAAGCACUACGCUCCCUUUCUCUUGAAACCAAAAGCCAAGGUUGUGGUGAUCUUCCUUUUCCUGGGCUUGCUGGGGGUCAGCCUUUACGGGACCACCCGAGUGAGAGAUGGGCUGGAUCUUACAGACAUCGUACCUCGGGAAACCAGAGAAUAUGACUUUAUUGCUGCACAAUUCAAAUACUUUUCUUUCUACAACAUGUAUAUAGUCACCCAGAAAGCAGACUACCCGAACAUCCAGCACUUACUUUACGACCUUCACAAGAGUUUCAGUAAUGUGAAGUAUGUCAUGUUAGAAGAAAACAAACAGCUUCCCAAAAUGUGGCUGCACUACUUCAGAGACUGGCUCCAAGGACUCCAGGAUGCAUUUGACAGUGACUGGGAAACUGGGAAAAUCAUGCCAAACAAUUACAAGAAUGGAUCGGACGAUGGAGUCCUUGCCUACAAACUGCUGGUGCAGACCGGCAGCGGCGAUAAACCCAUCGACAUCAGUCAGUUGACUAAACAGCGUCUGGUGGAUGCAGAUGGCAUCAUUAAUCCCAGCGCUUUCUACGUCUACCUGACCGCGUGGGUCAGCAAUGACCCCGUGGCUUACGCUGCCUCCCAGGCCAACAUCCGGCCUCACCGACCUGAAUGGGUCCACGACAAAGCUGACUACAUGCCAGAAACAAGGCUGAGAAUCCCAGCAGCAGAACCCAUCGAGUAUGCUCAGUUUCCGUUCUACCUCAAUGGCUUACGAGACACUGCAGACUUUGUGGAAGCAAUUGAAAAAGUAAGAACCAUCUGCAACAACUACACGAGCCUGGGGCUCUCCAGCUACCCCAACGGCUACCCCUUCCUCUUCUGGGAGCAGUACAUCGGCCUCCGCCACUGGCUGCUGCUGUCCAUCAGUGUGGUGUUGGCCUGCACGUUUCUCGUGUGCGCCGUCUUCCUUCUGAACCCCUGGACGGCCGGGAUCAUUGUGAUGGUCCUGGCCUUGAUGACAGUCGAGCUCUUCGGCAUGAUGGGCCUCAUUGGAAUCAAGCUGAGCGCAGUGCCUGUGGUCAUCCUGAUCGCCUCUGUCGGCAUCGGCGUGGAAUUCACCGUUCACGUCGCUUUGGCCUUCCUAACGGCCAUCGGCGAUAAGAACCGAAGAGCUGUGCUUGCCCUAGAGCACAUGUUCGCACCUGUUCUGGAUGGUGCUGUGUCCACUCUGCUGGGCGUGCUGAUGUUAGCAGGAUCUGAGUUUGACUUCAUUGUCAGGUAAGCUAGAGUGGAAGAGAAGACUUAUUUUUAAAAUCACUAUUAUUAGCUCAUGUGGUCUUGUUGCUUACUUGCUCCUGUAUCUGGUAGAUUGUAACAUCUCUUCAUUGUAACUGUUACUAUCUGUUGAAUUUAUUAACUCAGAGAUAGGCUAAGAGGUAAUAAAGACAAGCUGUCUUCUACACCUCUCUUGGAAAAUAGCUUGAAGACAAAAGAUGGAAGGUUUGGGGCUGGCAGCAAAGGCAGAUCCACAUCUUCAGGCUGAGGGAUCACCUAAUAUCCCAGUUAUCUGUGUCUCAGUUUAGAAAUAUCUACAAAAAGAGAGGACCACCAUUCCCAUUACUUGUUUUAAUUUGACCUUUGCUUUAUUUCCUUCAAAACCCUAGAAAAGAAAACUUAUAAAUACUUAAAACUGUCAACAAGACUUUAUCCUUUUAAGAAGUGAAGAUAAUGUGCCAGGAUUUCAUAUUCCAGUUCCCACAAAGAAGUAAGAAACAUUUAGCAUUUGACUUGUGUGUGAAGUUUUAGAAAUCCGAGCCUGGUUUGGAUACUUCUCUGUGGAUCUCAGAGCAAGCCAGUUUCUGGUUGAUUUGAUUAAGAAUAUGACUUUGUGAAGUAUAAAAGGAGAGCGAGUUUUCCUUUUGAAAGGAAUUUGAGGCCUGCAGAGAAAGAAAUCAUUUUGCUCUCUGAACAGCCCUGAUUGCUUUGUGAGGUGGCUGCUCUUGGAUGUAACCCUACUUUGUGGACAGGAGGCCAGAAUCAUCAAUAAGCAGAAGACAGUUCAGAAUGAGAGCUAUGAUGAUGCAGAACCAAGUGUGAGAAAGAAUUGGUUUGUUUGAGUACUUUCCGUGUGUGUGUAAGGGAUGGGAGGCUCUCAUUUUCAGGUAAAAAGAGGACUUCAACUAGAAGUACAUUCACUGCAGAAAAAAGGUGAAUCCAUUGGUCAGUGUGUAACAUCGCCCAUUAGCCAAAAUCAGCAUCACGGAUUCCGCCUUCCUAAAGGGAGUGCCAGAGUUUGCUGUCUGGUUUUGGCGUAGGGGGAAUGAAGACCAGCACUCCUCAGAUGGCACUGUUGCUGGUGUGACAUCGGAGGCUCUCUUUCAGUGCUGGGAGAUUUGCAGGGAGGGUGGGUUGCAGGAGGAGGGCAGACUGCAUUUCCAGCCAGCUCCCAGGCCAUAUUUAUGCCAAUACCAAAGAAGUGCCUAACAUAGUUAAAAGUUUUGAUCUGUUUUGUUCUAAUCUCUUAAAUUUUUCUUCAAAUUUUCCUUUAUUUUCUUAGUACACUUAAUCAGUCAUUAGUAUUGUCUCAUUACGCCGUAAAAGCCCAAUGUCAAAUACUUACGUUUGCAUAUUUAGGUUCUCAUACAACGCAAAUGUAAUGAGCAUUCCUGUAAGUGCCAUCUGGCACAAUAGCACAAUCACGUGGACCCCAGAACCUUCUGUGUAGCUUAUGGUCUUGGAGGAGAGAGAUAAGUUCACAGGCAACUCAAAACCAGGGAAAGCAUAGGGUACGCUGGGAUCUCAUGUGGGGGAUGAGGGUCUAACUCAGCCCUGUGGUGGAUGCUAAGUGAACCUGAUUUGGAGCACCCAGCUGGGAACCUGCAAGAUGGAAUCCCAGCUCUCUCAAUCUCACCCCCAGCUGCUUGCUCCCUCCCUGAGAUAUCAGGAUUCCUGUUUCAAGCACUUAAAAGGGCUUCACAUUUUCUAGAACUGGAUGGAUUAACCUGAUGAAGCCCUCACUGAGGUCGCAUAUAUGAGCAGACAUUGUAUACACUAAGCCGUCAGAAAUCUAAUUGGUCUGUUUAUGCUGCAGCUAGAUGGAUGGGAUGCAAAUGUCUUAAUGCCUGCAGCUGAUAUAUGCCUCCGCCGAAAGUUCCAGCAGUUUACAUUAGAGCAAGACAUUGGCUGCUAGGCUUUUGCUAAUGCAGCUCAGAAGUUUCUAAUGUUUACAAUAGCUGCAAGGUAUUUGUAUUUUUAUAGGUAUUCUCUCUCUGAUGUCGAAACAUAUAUAGACAUGGCAAAGUUGGUGCCUGCUCCAUUUUUAUGAACCACAGGACCAUUAAAAGAUAGAUAUCUUGCUCACACUCUUCCCAGAACAUCUUGAGCCUCUCCCCCACUUUCAUCAAAGUUGCCCUAGAAAUCAUUAGUUCCAGAAAUGCAUCCUUGCGUGGAGUCCGCGCCCCCCAGCUGUGUGGCGUGUCUGCCAGAGGAUGUCCCUGGCUGACAGGUUUACCUUGGUAUUCGUGAAGGAUCCCAGACCUUAGCCCUCAAUGGUGGGAAAGCAGAAGUACUUGUGCACUCUCUUCUUCUGCCAUGGUGCUGCGGCCUUUAUGUUUGAAUUGGCUGACGCAAAACAAGAGUAUUCAGAGACGCUAAAUUGUUCAACAAAAGAUUGGCCGGCAGAGCAGCCCGCCAUUGUGGAGGGCCCUCGCCCAGCACAAUGCCCCUGCUCCCACAGAAUGGGCAGCAUUUUCUUUGCAGAAAGCUGGUUCCUGUGUUCUAAAAAGGUUGCAAUUGGAGCUAUUUGGUAAAACUGGAACUCACAGAAUUCUAGGCAGAAAGUUGUGAUUAAUGAAAGCCCAGGGAAAGCCUUACCUGAUACACUGGAGACUUAAUUAGAGAUUCUGCCGUAAGAUGCAGAAGCAUUUCACAGUGGAUUAGCUGCCUGCAGAAGUGGGCUGCUUUUCCUCCUGGGCUAAAUUGUUUAAAUUCUACACCCUUCACUUCAUUUGUUUGCUUCUGCUGGGUUUUCGUGAACAGGGCCCCUCGGCAUUGUAUUGCGCUUUCAGUCUGCUCAGCCAUUCAGCUUGCAUUCCAUAUUUUUGUGUUUGUGUAACACAUUCAUAAAUAACAUUACAUGCCAUGAGAUUUCAGCAAAUUAACAAACUAAUUUUUUUUUCUUCCCUUCAUGAACUAACACUUUGAGUUGUGGAAUGUAGCCCUCAGAGUCAUAAGGUAUUUCUUUGCUGUCCUGGCAAUCCUAACAAUCCUGGGGGUUCUCAACGGACUGGUUUUGCUUCCAGUUCUUUUGUCUUUCUUUGGACCAUAUCCUGAGGU